AAACUCAAAUGAAUUGACGGGGACCCGCACAAGCGGUGGAUGAUGUGGUUUAAUUCGAUGCAACGCGAAAAACCUUACCUACCCUUGACAUGUCAAGAAUUCUGCAGAGAUGUGGAAGUGCUCGAAAGAGAACUUGAACACAGGUGCUGCAUGGCCGUCGUCAGCUCGUGUCGUGAGAUGUUGGGUUAAGUCCCGCAACGAGCGCAACCCUUGUCAUUAGUUGCUACGAAAGGGCACUCUAAUGAGACUGCCGGUGACAAACCGGAGGAAGGUGGGGACGACGUCAGGUCCUCAUGGCCCUUAUGGGUAGGGCUACACACGUCAUACAAUGGCCGGUACAGAGGGCUGCCAACCCGCGAGGGGGAGCUAAUCCCAGAAAACCGGUCGUAGUCCGGAUCGUAGUCUGCAACUCGACUGCGUGAAGUCGGAAUCGCUAGUAAUCGCGGAUCAGCUUGCCGCGGUGAAUACGUUCCCGGGUCUUGUACACACCGCCCGU
This 496-nucleotide ribosomal RNA is filed under the name uncultured Pseudomonadota bacterium. Its description in RNAcentral is "bacterial SSU rRNA". It matches the Rfam family "Bacterial small subunit ribosomal RNA", at positions 897 to 1397 of the family's 1533-position model. Lineage: Bacteria; Pseudomonadati; Pseudomonadota. The record is from RNAcentral.